This 493-nucleotide unclassified non-coding RNA is filed under the name Hevea brasiliensis (rubber tree). The record is from RNAcentral. Lineage: Eukaryota; Viridiplantae; Streptophyta; Magnoliopsida; Malpighiales; Euphorbiaceae.
AAAGCAACCACUUAUUCAAGGCUUUAUACAAAAGCACCGACACCCGUCAUUUAAAGGGUACUAGAGAGACCAUUCCCUCAAAAAGAGGACUUACCUACUUUGGUAUACCAUACUGAAGUCUUGUAUACGAGAAAAACUACUAUUAACUACUGAUGAUAGCAAGUUUCUGGGGGUGAUUUAGCAAACUCAGACCUUUCUUCAUGUCAUGCUCUCAGACAUGAGGCUCUCAUUCUUUGGCACUCUCAACAGCAGGGAAAUCCUUUAUCUCAACUUCUUUGGUUUCAGAUUCAAAUGCUUCUGCACCACCAUUCUCAGUGCUCAGAUCACGAUGCUCCGCUGCAUCAUUUUCCUUUGUAUCUGCCUCACGCUCUGCUACUGUGACAUGGUCUGCAUGAUUGCUUUCCUUCGUCUCAGCACUCUGCUCUGCAUCAGCACCAUGGACUACAGGGGUGGCUUCAGUAGUCUCAGCAGUGAUUCCCGAAGUACCUUCAGA